GGGGUUAUGACUCAGUGGUAGAGAGCGCUCCUCUAGCACAUGUGAGGCACUGGGUUCAAACCUCAGCACCCCA
RNAcentral lists this transfer RNA (73 nucleotides) under Marmota monax (woodchuck). RNAcentral describes it as "tRNA.Ala". The record is from RNAcentral. Lineage: Eukaryota; Metazoa; Chordata; Mammalia; Rodentia; Sciuridae.